RNAcentral lists this ribosomal RNA (1446 nucleotides) under uncultured bacterium. RNAcentral describes it as "bacterial SSU rRNA". It matches the Rfam family "Bacterial small subunit ribosomal RNA". The record is from RNAcentral.
AGAGUUUGAUCCUGGCUCAGGAUGAACGCUGGCGGCGUGCUUAACACAUGCAAGUCGAACGAACCUUCGGGUUAGUGGCGGACGGGUGAGUAACGCGUGAGAAUCUGCCCUCAGGAGGGGGAUAACGGUUGGAAACGACCGCUAAUACCCCAUAUGCCGAGAGGUGAAAUGAAUUUCGCCUGAGGAUGAGCUCGCGUCUGAUUAGUUAGUUGGUGGGGUAAUGGCCUACCAAGACAUCGAUCAGUAGCUGGUCUGAGAGGAUGAUCAGCCACACUGGGACUGAGACACGGCCCAGACUCCUACGGGAGGCAGCAGUGGGGAAUUUUCCGCAAUGGGCGAAAGCCUGACGGAGCAACGCCGCGUGAGGGAUGAAGGCCUCUGGGCUGUAAACCUCUUUUAUCAAGGAAGAAGAUCUGACGGUACUUGAUGAAUAAGCCACGGCUAAUUCCGUGCCAGCAGCCGCGGUAAUACGGGAGUGGCAAGCGUUAUCCGGAAUUAUUGGGCGUAAAGCGUCCGCAGGCGGUCUGUCAAGUCUGCUGUUAAAGCGUGGAGCUUAACUCCAUUUCGGCAGUGGAAACUGACAGACUAGAGUGUGGUAGGGGCAGAGGGAAUUCCCGGUGUAGCGGUGAAAUGCGUAGAUAUCGGGAAGAACACCAGUGGCGAAGGCGCUCUGCUGGGCCAUAACUGACGCUCAUGGACGAAAGCCAGGGGAGCGAAAGGGAUUAGAUACCCCUGUAGUCCUGGCCGUAAACGAUGAACACUAGGUGUCGGGGGAAUCGACCCCCUCGGUGUCGUAGCCAACGCGUUAAGUGUUCCGCCUGGGGAGUACGCACGCAAGUGUGAAACUCAAAGGAAUUGACGGGGGCCCGCACAAGCGGUGGAGUAUGUGGUUUAAUUCGAUGCAACGCGAAGAACCUUACCAGGGUUUGACAUCCUGCGAAUCUCUUGGAAACAAGAGAGUGCCUUCGGGAACGCAGUGACAGGUGGUGCAUGGCUGUCGUCAGCUCGUGUCGUGAGAUGUUGGGUUAAGUCCCGCAACGAGCGCAACCCACGUCGUUAGUUGCCAGCAUUUAGUUGGGCACUCUAGCGAGACCGCCGGUGAUAAACCGGAGGAAGGUGUGGAUGACGUCAAGUCAUCAUGCCCCUUACAUCCUGGGCUACACACGUACUACAAUGCUACGGACAAAGGGCAGCAAACUCGCGAGAGCUAGCAAAUCCCAUAAACCGUGGCUCAGUUCAGAUCGUAGGCUGCAACUCGCCUACGUGAAGGAGGAAUCGCUAGUAACCGCAGGUCAGCAUACUGCGGUGAAUACGUUCCCGGGCCUUGUACACACCGCCCGUCACACCAUGGAAGUUGGCCACGCCCGAAGCCGUUACUCCAACCCUUGUGGAGGAGGACGUCGAAGGUGGGGCUGAUGACUGGGGUGAAGUCGUAACAAGGUAACC